RNAcentral lists this microRNA precursor (136 nucleotides) under Hordeum vulgare. RNAcentral describes it as "microRNA MIR1122". It matches the Rfam family "MIR1120/MIR1122 microRNA precursor family". Lineage: Eukaryota; Viridiplantae; Streptophyta; Magnoliopsida; Poales; Poaceae. The record is from RNAcentral.
CAUUUACUCCCUUCGUCCCAAAAUUCUUGCCUUAGAUUUGUUUAGAUAUGAACGUAUCUAGUCAAGUUUUAGUAUUUAGAUACAUCCAUUUCUAAACAAAGUUAAGACAAGAAUUUUGGGACGGAGGGAGUACUAU